This 450-nucleotide ribosomal RNA is filed under the name uncultured bacterium. RNAcentral describes it as "partial 16S ribosomal RNA". It matches the Rfam family "Bacterial small subunit ribosomal RNA", at positions 354 to 796 of the family's 1533-position model. The record is from RNAcentral.
GUGGGGAAUAUUGGACAAUGGGCGAAAGCCUGAUCCAGCCAUGCCGCGUGUGUGAAGAAGGUCUUCGGAUUGUAAAGCACUUUAAGUUGGGAGGAAGGGCAGUAAGUUAAUACCUUGCUGUUUUGACGUUACCGACAGAAUAAGCACCGGCUAACUCUGUGCCAGCAGCCGCGGUAAUACAGAGGGUGCAAGCGUUAAUCGGAAUUACUGGGCGUAAAGCGCGCGUAGGUGGUUCGUUAAGUUGGAUGUGAAAGCCCCGGGCUCAACCUGGGAACUGCAUCAAAAACUGGCGAGCUAGAGUACGGUAGAGGGUGGUGGAAUUUCCUGUGUAGCGGUGAAAUGCGUAGAUAUAGGAAGGAACACCAGUGGCGAAGGCGACCACCUGGACUGAUACUGACACUGAGGUGCGAAAGCGUGGGGAGCAAACAGGAUUAGAAACCCGGGUAGUCC